AGCGAACGCUGGCGGCAGGCUUAACACAUGCAAGUCGAGCGGAUGUAGCAAUACAUCAGCGGCAGACGGGUGAGUAACACGUGGGAACGUACCUUUUGGUUCGGAACAACACAGGGAAACUUGUGCUAAUACCGGAUAAGCCCUUACGGGGAAAGAUUUAUCGCCGAAAGAUCGGCCCGCGUCUGAUUAGCUAGUUGGUGAGGUAACGGCUCACCAAGGCGACGAUCAGUAGCUGGUCUGAGAGGAUGAUCAGCCACAUUGGGACUGAGACACGGCCCAAACUCCUACGGGAGGCAGCA
Molecule: ribosomal RNA, 299 nt
Filed under: uncultured bacterium
Lineage: Bacteria
Description: partial 16S ribosomal RNA
Rfam family: Bacterial small subunit ribosomal RNA
Source: RNAcentral